RNAcentral lists this ribosomal RNA (580 nucleotides) under Escherichia coli. Its description in RNAcentral is "bacterial SSU rRNA". It matches the Rfam family "Bacterial small subunit ribosomal RNA", at positions 1 to 570 of the family's 1533-position model. Lineage: Bacteria; Pseudomonadati; Pseudomonadota; Gammaproteobacteria; Enterobacterales; Enterobacteriaceae. The record is from RNAcentral.
AAAUUGAAGAGUUUGAUCAUGGCUCAGAUUGAACGCUGGCGGCAGGCCUAACACAUGCAAGUCGAACGGUAACAGGAAGAAGCUUGCUUCUUUGCUGACGAGUGGCGGACGGGUGAGUAAUGUCUGGGAAACUGCCUGAUGGAGGGGGAUAACUACUGGAAACGGUAGCUAAUACCGCAUAACGUCGCAAGACCAAAGAGGGGGACCUUCGGGCCUCUUGCCAUCGGAUGUGCCCAGAUGGGAUUAGCUUGUUGGUGGGGUAACGGCUCACCAAGGCGACGAUCCCUAGCUGGUCUGAGAGGAUGACCAGCCACACUGGAACUGAGACACGGUCCAGACUCCUACGGGAGGCAGCAGUGGGGAAUAUUGCACAAUGGGCGCAAGCCUGAUGCAGCCAUGCCGCGUGUAUGAAGAAGGCCUUCGGGUUGUAAAGUACUUUCAGCGGGGAGGAAGGGAGUAAAGUUAAUACCUUUGCUCAUUGACGUUACCCGCAGAAGAAGCACCGGCUAACUCCGUGCCAGCAGCCGCGGUAAUACGGAGGGUGCAAGCGUUAAUCGGAAUUACUGGGCGUAAAGCGCAC